Molecule: long non-coding RNA, 487 nt
Filed under: Monodelphis domestica (gray short-tailed opossum)
Lineage: Eukaryota; Metazoa; Chordata; Mammalia; Didelphimorphia; Didelphidae
Description: lncRNA (ENSMODG00000051436.1)
Source: RNAcentral
AAAGUUCUAAAAUCACUACUAAUUGAGAACGUUAUAGCAAUUAUGAGAUUCUACCUUUGCUUAUGUCUAUGUCUCUAUCUUUAUCUCCAUUUUUUUUUAUUCUGACCUGGUACCUGUGUCAUGCAUGUGGAGAACUGCUGGUUAAGGAACUCCCUCUCUCAGUACAGGAGGCUUCCUCAGGUCUUGAUCUCCAUGUGGAGUCUUCACCCAGAAGUCUACCAGUGCAGCCUCCUCUAUAACCAGAGCCACUCACCUAGCAAGCCCAUGCAGUUUCCAGGGAAAGAAUCUCCUCCAAAGCCACGGCUCCUGGCCUGCCUUUCGCAGCUGGAUACAGGCUGGGGAAACUUGGUGAUGGAGAGAGGAGGGACACAAGUGGUGUAUUCAGGAAGGUACCCUGGAAGCUAUGGUGCCAUGUUCUUAAGGAAUGAGGUCAAAGCUGAGAGCUACAAUGGUUCACAAGGUAUGUGCACUAUCCCUACUGCCGCCA